GGAGGGUGCAAGCGUUGUUCGGAAUUAUUGGGCGUAAAGCGAGUGUAGGUGGUCGAAUAAGUCGGAUGUGAAAGCCCUGGGCUUAACCUGGGAAUUGCAUUCGAUACUGUUUGGCUAGAGUCUGAUAGAGGGAAGUGGAAUUCCAGGUGUAGCGGUGAAAUGCGUAGAUAUCUGGAGGAACAUCAGUGGCGAAGGCGGCUUCCUGGAUCAAGACUGACACUGAGGCUCGAAAGCGUGGGGAGCAAACAGGAUUAGAUACCCUGGUAGUCCACGCCUUAAACUAUGAAUACUAAGUGUCGGCAGUUUACUGCCGGUGCCGCAGCUAACGCAUUAAGUAUUCCGCCUGGGAAGUACGGCCGCAAGGUUG
RNAcentral lists this ribosomal RNA (367 nucleotides) under uncultured bacterium. RNAcentral describes it as "bacterial SSU rRNA". It matches the Rfam family "Bacterial small subunit ribosomal RNA", at positions 527 to 896 of the family's 1533-position model. The record is from RNAcentral.